Glycine max (soybean) is the source of this 46-nucleotide non-coding RNA. The record is from Rfam. Lineage: Eukaryota; Viridiplantae; Streptophyta; Magnoliopsida; Fabales; Fabaceae.
CUAUAAGCUUUUCUUAAAGCUACUUAUUUAACAUUAUAUGAAAUAG